This 527-nucleotide unclassified non-coding RNA is filed under the name Hevea brasiliensis (rubber tree). Lineage: Eukaryota; Viridiplantae; Streptophyta; Magnoliopsida; Malpighiales; Euphorbiaceae. The record is from RNAcentral.
UUUCUUUGUAAGAAAGAGAUCAUUAUAGUAGUAUUGAUAAUUUUAUAAUAAAGAAUAAUUAAAAUAAUUGAUUUUUUUAAUAUGAAAGGAAAAUAAAUAAAAAUAUAAUUUUAUUAUUUUUUAAUUUUAAAAAAUCUAUAAUAUAUAAAGAAAUUUUUAAGAAAUAAAAUUAAGAUAAAUUAAAAUUUAAAAAUAAAAAUGAAAUACGACAAAAUUUGUGAAUUACUAUAAAAAUUACCCUAAAAUCUAACUUAUGGGGAGAAGAAUUCCAAGACGCGAGAAGAUAAAACAUCGUGUAGGUAGUAUAAAAUAUAAAUAUCAAAGCAAAACGACAAGAGAAAAAAGGAACAAAACGACAAGAGAGGCAAUAGAUUUAUAAAGAAGAGGAUAAGAACAAAAUGAACAUACCGGCAACAUUGAUGUUCUCAACAAUGUAAAGAACGUUGUCCUCAUUGAUUUCUCCCUUCUGCUGUGCGUCUAAAAUAUGAUCUAUUGCACAUUUCAACCCUUCAUUAUCCAUGCUCGUU